RNAcentral lists this transfer RNA (83 nucleotides) under Bacteroidaceae bacterium. RNAcentral's name for it is "tRNA-Tyr". It matches the Rfam family "tRNA". Rfam says of the family: Transfer RNA (tRNA) molecules are approximately 80 nucleotides in length. Their secondary structure includes four short double-helical elements and three loops (D, anti-codon, and T loops). Lineage: Bacteria; Pseudomonadati; Bacteroidota; Bacteroidia; Bacteroidales; Bacteroidaceae. The record is from RNAcentral.
GGGCAAAUUCCAGAGUGGCCAAAUGGGGCAGACUGUAAAUCUGCUGGCGUACGCCUUCGGUGGUUCGAAUCCAUCUUUGCCCA